This 1230-nucleotide ribosomal RNA is filed under the name Enterococcus faecium MRSN 11639. Its description in RNAcentral is "partial 16S ribosomal RNA". It matches the Rfam family "Bacterial small subunit ribosomal RNA", at positions 1 to 1203 of the family's 1533-position model. The record is from RNAcentral. Lineage: Bacteria; Bacillati; Bacillota; Bacilli; Lactobacillales; Enterococcaceae.
UUUUUAUGAGAGUUUGAUCCUGGCUCAGGACGAACGCUGGCGGCGUGCCUAAUACAUGCAAGUCGAACGCUUCUUUUUCCACCGGAGCUUGCUCCACCGGAAAAAGAGGAGUGGCGAACGGGUGAGUAACACGUGGGUAACCUGCCCAUCAGAAGGGGAUAACACUUGGAAACAGGUGCUAAUACCGUAUAACAAUCAAACCGCAUGGUUUUGAUUUGAAAGGCGCUUUCGGGUGUCGCUGAUGGAUGGACCCGCGGUGCAUUAGCUAGUUGGUGAGGUAACGGCUCACCAAGGCCACGAUGCAUAGCCGACCUGAGAGGGUGAUCGGCCACAUUGGGACUGAGACACGGCCCAAACUCCUACGGGAGGCAGCAGUAGGGAAUCUUCGGCAAUGGACGAAAGUCUGACCGAGCAACGCCGCGUGAGUGAAGAAGGUUUUCGGAUCGUAAAACUCUGUUGUUAGAGAAGAACAAGGAUGAGAGUAACUGUUCAUCCCUUGACGGUAUCUAACCAGAAAGCCACGGCUAACUACGUGCCAGCAGCCGCGGUAAUACGUAGGUGGCAAGCGUUGUCCGGAUUUAUUGGGCGUAAAGCGAGCGCAGGCGGUUUCUUAAGUCUGAUGUGAAAGCCCCCGGCUCAACCGGGGAGGGUCAUUGGAAACUGGGAGACUUGAGUGCAGAAGAGGAGAGUGGAAUUCCAUGUGUAGCGGUGAAAUGCGUAGAUAUAUGGAGGAACACCAGUGGCGAAGGCGGCUCUCUGGUCUGUAACUGACGCUGAGGCUCGAAAGCGUGGGGAGCAAACAGGAUUAGAUACCCUGGUAGUCCACGCCGUAAACGAUGAGUGCUAAGUGUUGGAGGGUUUCCGCCCUUCAGUGCUGCAGCUAACGCAUUAAGCACUCCGCCUGGGGAGUACGACCGCAAGGUUGAAACUCAAAGGAAUUGACGGGGGCCCGCACAAGCGGUGGAGCAUGUGGUUUAAUUCGAAGCAACGCGAAGAACCUUACCAGGUCUUGACAUCCUUUGACCACUCUAGAGAUAGAGCUUCCCCUUCGGGGGCAAAGUGACAGGUGGUGCAUGGUUGUCGUCAGCUCGUGUCGUGAGAUGUUGGGUUAAGUCCCGCAACGAGCGCAACCCUUAUUGUUAGUUGCCAUCAUUCAGUUGGGCACUCUAGCAAGACUGCCGGUGACAAACCGGAGGAAGGUGGGGAUGACGUCAAAUCAUCAUGCCCCUU